Budorcas taxicolor (takin) is the source of this 4001-nucleotide RNA transcript. It is a transcript of the gene named retrotransposon Gag like 5, with no coding region annotated. The record is from RefSeq and is a predicted model, not a curated record. The transcript has 2 exons. NCBI's taxonomy places the organism in Eukaryota, Metazoa, Chordata, Mammalia, Artiodactyla, Bovidae.
GUGCCGCAGUCAGUUCCCUACCUCGCCGCCAGCCUCCGCCCGCCCGAUUGCCGCCUCGCUGCCUCGCCGCCCGCCUUCUCCGCCUGGCGCCUCCCGGCUCCCGCCGCCGCCCGCCCUUUGCGAUCCCCGGGACGAGGUAACGCGCCCCGGGCGGAGCCGCCAGGCCUUCCGAGCUCGCUCCAGUGGGUGUGGCUCGGCCCCCCGCGCGCCCCGCCGCGGCCCCCGGCUCCUCUCACGGCCCUAUCUCCCCAUCCCACCCCUGCCCGCAGCCCCAGGGCCCCGGCUAGUCCUGAUGUCCGAGGCGGCCGGCAAUCUCAAUAGCCUCCGCAUGGCGAACGUGGCCCUGCGAGAAGAAUUAAAUGCCCUUCGCGGGGAGAAUGCCAAUCUGGGCCUUCAGCUCGGCAGAGCCCUGGCCGAGGUCAAUUCCUUGCGGGGCAAUGUCUCGAGCUACAUGCGCUGGCCGGUCCCCGGGGUGCCCGCCCUUUCUGAGGAGAACUUUGAGUUCCCGCUCAGUGAGAUCGACGCCGCUCCCGAGGGAGAACUGCCCUUCCUGUGCUGGCCUCCCCCGCGCACCGAGCCCGAGUGUGCCCCGGACGAGCUGUUGAUUAGCGUGAUCCAGGAUUGCAGUACUUCCGGCGCACCCACCGACCCACCCCCGAUGCCCAGUCCACCCCCGCCGGCGCUGCCCCCGUCUCCGGCCAAGGAGCUGCCCCCGCAGCCUCUUCUGCCGCCGCUGGAGCGGCCUGAGAUAGAGCCCUUCUCGGGCGACCCAGUCUACCUGGCUGAAUUCUUGAUGCAGCUAGAGACUUUCAUAGCCGACCAUGAGGAUCAUUUCCCCGGGGGCGCUGAGCGGGUGGCCUUUCUGAUCUCCUUUUUCGCUGGUGAAGCCAAGGAAUGGGCCGUCUCAGUCACCCAGGAAGGAAGCCCCCUGCAUGCCAACUUUCCGCGCUUCCUAGAUGAAAUCCGUAAGCAGUUCUGUGGCCCCAUUCCCCCAAGCGUGGCAAAAAAAGCCAUCCGCAAGCUCAAGCAGGGAGACUGUACCCUGGGCAGCUAUGCAGAUGCUUUUCAGUUCCUGGCUCAAUUCUUGUCUUGGGAUGACUGCCGCCUUCAAAACCAGUUCCUCAAAGGCUUAUCAGAGUUCUUCCGCAAGGAGCUCUUAUGGUCAACUGAAAUGGCCGACCUGGAUGAGCUGAUACUCGAGUGUGUGGAGAUAGAAAGAAAAGUGCGUGUCCCCAAGCCAAUGCCACUCCCUGGGGUUCGCAAUAUCUUCUUCCCUUUUGCAGCAGACCGUAAUCUCGAAGGUGAAGAGGGAGAAGAGUGCCACAGUGGGGAUCAAGAUGAAGAGGCACGCAAGCGCAGGAUUCUCAACAAGGACCAGCGGAGGCGCGUGAGAGCAAUCCAGCAAGAGACCAGGGGGGAGGAGGAGGAGAAGAGGAGGAAGAGGGAGGAAGAGAUGAGGAAGGAGCUGAAACAGAAAGGGGAGGAGGACGGGGAGGAGGAGGAAGAGGAGGAGGCGGAAGAAGAGGAGGAGAAAGAAGAGGAGGAAGAGGAGGGGAUGAGGAAGAAGAGGAAGAAGGAGGAGGAAGAUCAGAGUAAGGAUAAGAAAGAAGAGGAACAUGAGGGUGGCCGCCAGGAACCAGAGCAGGAGCCCGCGCAAGAGCCCGAGCAGGAACAGGAGACAGAGGAUGAGACCCAAGACGAUGACCUGGAUGAGCUGAUGGAGAUGGAGCCCACCUAUGCCAACGCUUCAUCCCAGACUUCUGGCUACUAUCAUGAAAACUUCCUAGAUGUGUCGCCUCCCAUCAUACAGCCCAGCAGACGCAGGAACCAGAAUCGACUCCCGCUUCUGGAGGGCCUUCCAGGUACCAAUUCACCAUUCUACAGUUCACCGCCGCUAAUUCGCCGCGCAGGUCGCCUGGGGCAACGCCAAAUUCGACGCCGUCCCCCAGUGCUGUUUCGCCUCACUCCGAGGCAGGGGGGCCACCGGGCUGCACGGGGCCGUAUUCGCGUGUGAGAGCUGGGGUGAGCUGCCCCCUCCCCCACAACACACCCUUCCACUGUGUUCCCUGCCCCUGCUUUCGCUGCCACACCUGCCUCAUUCACUGACCAGUACUUAAGGGAGUUACAGACCUGCAGAACCGAAAGACCUGGAGGACUCCAGACCAUCCCAUGACCUUGACUGGGGAGUGACACUCGGGAAAGGAGGGUGCAGUGAUAGGUCUCCUCUCGGUGUGCACUCUGCUCAUACCUGCCAGGAUCUAGAGAGCAGGUUUAUGGGCCUGCUCCCAUAAAUGAACUGGUCACCCUCUUGUAUUUCCCCUCUAGUUCCAAGCCCUCACCUUUCCUGUGUUAAUUCACACUGUGUUCUAUGGUUUCAUCCUCUGGCUGGCUAACCUGGACUUCACCCAAUGGCUCACUGCUCUGCCCCGGACAGGCUCCACUGAACUUCUAAAGCCACUGAAGCCACUUAGUAGGUAUAAUUGGUGGACAGCAGGAUGCUAUCAAGAAACGUACCUGGAAGCCUACACUUGCUUCAGGUCACCCCUCCAGCAGGAGGGCCCUGAAGAGGCCCCUCCAAUUAGCCCAGUGAGAGAAUGCAAAGCCACAUGUCCAGUGGAUCACCCAGCUGAGACCUGUCUUCAACUGACUGAGCAAGCUGGUUCCACCUUCCCACAGACCAUGGGCUUAGGGCCUGAGAGCUCGCCAGAUCUGGGACCCUUUCCUCUUACUUCACUGCUCUCCUGGGCAUCCCUAGUGGACACAGCCCAAUAGUCCAUGCCCUACUCCUUUCCUUGACAUUGCCUAAAGGGUAGGCAGUUAGGCCGGGGAGGAGGAGGAGGAGAAAGCAGCAGCAACGACUCAAUUUGACCCUGUAAGGAGUGACUCUUUCCUUAGGGAUGGUGGCCUCCUCCGCUGGCCAGGCCUUGGACUGCAGUCUCCAGCCACAGGUCUUGGCAGAAGAUUUGCCAUUCUUGGGGUUCCAGAGGUGGGUUAAUUGGCCUUUCCUUCCCAGAAUGCCAGAGAGAGAGGUCCAAAGCCUGCUCUUCAACUCCAAUGUGAAGGACUCCUUAGUACUGAGAGGAGAGAGGAAGGUUCUCUCUACAGAGACUGCCUCCUGCAGCUUUGCAACCGGGAUGACCUCACGUCUCUCACAUGAGGGGCAAGCCAUAGCCUGAUGCUGGGCAUUGAGCAGAUGGUGAGGUUUCAGAGGUUGACUGCCUCCUAGUAACUCCUGGGGCUUCUGGGUCCUAACCUAGGGGCCUUCACAGAGACCUGCUGCUGGCCUUGGGUCCAGAAGACACGGUUCUGCAGUGAAAAGUACAUACUAUGUCACUCUGGCCACAGAAUGGCAGCCAGAUCCACUGAUGGCCUGAACUGCCCUCCACACUGGCCUUCCUGCACAGGGCCUGGCGGCUGGGCAAGUGCAGCCAAAGUGUCUGUGGCCAGAGGGAAGAAAACAUAGUCAAUUAAACCUCUGUUCCUCACUGGAGUCUGACAGAUAACCUCAGCCCAGCCUUAGGAGUUUGAGCUCAGAGGCAAGAAAAAGGAGCAGGAGGAAGAGGAGUCACAGAAACCCAGUCCUCCGACUGGUUUCCGGUGAGGUCUCUAUUCAUCAGUGGGAGCUAUUUUCUCAGGAGAGAGUUCCAGAAGGAGGCCUGCCAUUCUUCAAAGCUGUGGACUCUUGUUUGCUGAUGGUCAAUCAACAUUCUGGCCCUGCUGCCCAUGUCCCUGUCAGAGAAGUCCAAAGGACAGGUGCCUUCCACCCACGCUUCCAGGGACCCCACAUCACAGGCCCUGCCUGUUCCCAUGGUGCUUUUCAUCCUGAGCCCAUGUAGCCUCGGCCAGGGAAAGAACAGUUGAGCAGUGAGCUGGUUUGUGGCCCUCUGGUGGCAAGGGAGCUUGGGCUCCCCUUUGACCCUCUUCCCCUCCUUUCCCAGAUCUUCAAUAUUGUGAUCUAACAGCCACAAUAGCUGUAAGAGGAACUAUGGGCUUUGGGCUAU